AAACAGCUUACACCCUCAAUUUUGAGCUACGAAAUUGCCGACCUUGCAUCUUCAAUGAAGAUGGGGAAUGGGCUCUUCCCAACAUCAUCGACGUAUCGGAUCACAAUUGGUGCCUCUUAAGCUUGAAUCGUCAUCCGGAGGAGCCGAGGGAGAAAUUCUUCAAAAGCUAGAAUAAAUGGAUUGCAUCUCUGCCAACCAAUUUUCUGCCCAGAUACCUGCAACUAACUACUUAAGGAUCGACCUCCUUGAUCCGUUCUUCAAGGGAAAUAUUUGUGGACCAGACAUGGAUAUACUACUACAGCGGCC
RNAcentral lists this small RNA (306 nucleotides) under Histoplasma capsulatum var. duboisii H88. RNAcentral describes it as "Histoplasma capsulatum H88 hypothetical RNA". Lineage: Eukaryota; Fungi; Ascomycota; Eurotiomycetes; Onygenales; Ajellomycetaceae. The record is from RNAcentral.